Molecule: ribosomal RNA, 1346 nt
Filed under: uncultured bacterium
Lineage: Bacteria
Description: partial 16S ribosomal RNA
Rfam family: Bacterial small subunit ribosomal RNA
Source: RNAcentral
GACGAACGCUGGCGGCGUGCUUAACACAUGCAAGUCGAACGGAAAGGCCCUGCUUUUGUGGGGUGCUCGAGUGGCGAACGGGUGAGUAACACGUGAGUAACCUGCCCUUGACUUUGGGAUAACUUCAGGAAACUGGGGCUAAUACCGGAUAGGAGCUCCUGCUGCAUGGUGGGGGUUGGAAAGUUUCGGCGGUUGGGGAUGGACUCGCGGCUUAUCAGCUUGUUGGUGGGGUAGUGGCUUACCAAGGCUUUGACGGGUAGCCGGCCUGAGAGGGUGACCGGCCACAUUGGGACUGAGAUACGGCCCAGACUCCUACGGGAGGCAGCAGUGGGGAAUAUUGCACAAUGGGCGGAAGCCUGAUGCAGCAACGCCGCGUGCGGGAUGACGGCCUUCGGGUUGUAAACCGCUUUCGCCUGUGACGAAGCGUGAGUGACGGUAAUGGGUAAAGAAGCACCGGCUAACUACGUGCCAGCAGCCGCGGUGAUACGUAGGGUGCGAGCGUUGUCCGGAUUUAUUGGGCGUAAAGGGCUCGUAGGUGGUUGAUCGCGUCGGAAGUGUAAUCUUGGGGCUUAACCCUGAGCGUGCUUUCGAUACGGGUUGACUUGAGGAAGGUAGGGGAGAAUGGAAUUCCUGGUGGAGCGGUGGAAUGCGCAGAUAUCAGGAGGAACACCAGUGGCGAAGGCGGUUCUCUGGGCCUUUCCUGACGCUGAGGAGCGAAAGCGUGGGGAGCGAACAGGCUUAGAUACCCUGGUAGUCCACGCUGUAAACGGUGGGUACUAGGUGUGGGGUCCAUUCCACGGGUUCCGUGCCGUAGCUAACGCUUUAAGUACCCCGCCUGGGGAGUACGGCCGCAAGGCUAAAACUCAAAGGAAUUGACGGGGCCCCGCACAAGCGGCGGAGCAUGCGGAUUAAUUCGAUGCAACGCGUAGAACCUUACCUGGGUUUGACAUGGAUCGGGAGUGCUCAGAGAUGGGUGUGCCUCUUUUGGGGUCGGUUCACAGGUGGUGCAUGGCUGUCGUCAGCUCGUGUCGUGAGAUGUUGGGUUAAGUCCCGCAACGAGCGCAACCCUUGUUCACUGUUGCCAGCACGUUAUGGUGGGGACUCAGUGGAGACCGCCGGGGUCAACUCGGAGGAAGGUGGGGAUGACGUCAAGUCAUCAUGCCCCUUAUGUCCAGGGCUUCACGCAUGCUGCAAUGGCUGGUACAGAGAGUGGCGAGCCUGUGAGGGUGAGCGAAUCUCGGAAAGCCGGUCUCAGUUCGGAUUGGGGUCUGCAACUCGACCUCAUGAAGUCGGAGUCGCUAGUAAUCGCAGAUCAGCAACGCUGCGGGUGAUACGUUCCCGGGGCU